This 483-nucleotide ribosomal RNA is filed under the name uncultured bacterium. Its description in RNAcentral is "partial 16S ribosomal RNA". It matches the Rfam family "Bacterial small subunit ribosomal RNA", at positions 30 to 507 of the family's 1533-position model. The record is from RNAcentral.
UUGAACGCUGGCGGCAGGCCUAACACAUGCAAGUCGAGCGGAUGAAGGGAGCUUGCUCCUGGAUUCAGCGGCGGACGGGUGAGUAAUGCCUAGGAAUCUGCCUGGUAGUGGGGGAUAACGUCCGGAAACUGGCGCUAAUACCGCAUACGUCCUGAGGGAGAAAGUGGGGGAUCUUCGGACCUCACGCUAUCAGAUGAGCCUAGGUCGGAUUAGCUAGUUGGUGGGGUAAAGGCCUACCAAGGCGACGAUCCGUAACUGGUCUGAGAGGAUGAUCAGUCACACUGGAACUGAGACACGGUCCAGACUCCUACGGGAGGCAGCAGUGGGGAAUAUUGGACAAUGGGCGAAAGCCUGAUCCAGCCAUGCCGCGUGUGUGAAGAAGGUCUUCGGAUUGUAAAGCACUUUAAGUUGGGAGGAAGGGCAGUAAGUUAAUACCUUGCUGUUUUGACGUUACCAACAGAAUAAGCACCGGCUAACUUCGUG